GAGAGAGAGAGAGAGAGAGGUAGUCCAAAACUCAAUCUGUUUUCUAGUCUUGUAUUUUUACAAAAAAGAUUAUGGCAUAAUUUUUUAGUCAGCUGAGAUUGCCAUCUAAAGGUCUAACAAGAUGUUAGAUGAUAGUACAAAACUAGUGCAUUGUUUUGUCACUACAAGAAAAUGAGUACGAACCAAAGUCUCCAUAAGCCAUUUUGACCUGCACUCUUUAUCAUCCAUCUCUCUGUGUCUCUCAUUUCUACUAUUCUCACAUAAAUUGAUUGUGCAUAGCAUGUAUCAUGGAUUAGAAGAUUUACCUCCCAGCGACAGCAUUUCUGGAAUUCCACUAGCAAAUACAUGGAAAGUGCAACACUAACUGUGUAUCCAGGCCACAAUCUUCCACGUGUUGUGUCAUGAGCCAAGUUGAGAGCCUGUAUAAAUCCUUCAGCCAGCAUAAACAGAGAUUUAUCAUGAAUUGAUCUUCUAGCAAAAAAUUGACUAGAUGGAGAGUGGAUAAAUGUAGAGGUCUCAAGCGUGCACAUAUACACAGUACUGCUUGAGAGUAAAUUAAAUUUUGGUGUCACAAGGAUGACUUAUUUAGUAAUAAAAACAUUGAAAUUACAAGUACCUACUUGCUGAGCUGCAGUCAACAAUAUAUGCUGAACUGUAUUACCUAUAAAAUCAGUUCAAGUUUGUUGCAGUAUCCCUUUCA
This 700-nucleotide unclassified non-coding RNA is filed under the name Hevea brasiliensis (rubber tree). Lineage: Eukaryota; Viridiplantae; Streptophyta; Magnoliopsida; Malpighiales; Euphorbiaceae. The record is from RNAcentral.